RNAcentral lists this ribosomal RNA (253 nucleotides) under uncultured bacterium. Its description in RNAcentral is "partial 16S ribosomal RNA". It matches the Rfam family "Bacterial small subunit ribosomal RNA", at positions 524 to 776 of the family's 1533-position model. The record is from RNAcentral.
UACGGGGGGGGCAAGCGUUGUUCGGAAUUAUUGGGCGUAAAGGGCUCGUAGGCGGCCAACUAAGUCGGACGUGAAAUCCCCAGGCUCAACCUGGGAACUGCGUCCGAUACUGGAUGGCUUGAAUCCGGGAGAGGGAUGCAGAAUUCCAGGUGUAGCGGUGAAAUGCGUAGAUAUCUGGAGGAAUACCGGUGGCGAAGGCGGCAUCCUGGACCGGCAUUGACGCUGAGGAGCGAAAGCCAGGGGAGCAAACAGG